AUGCACGCUGGCGGCGUGCCUAAUACAUGCAAGUCGAGCGAACGGACGAGAAGCUUGCUUCUCUGAUGUUAGCGGCGGACGGGUGAGUAACACGUGGAUAACCUACCUAUAAGACUGGGAUAACUUCGGGAAACCGGAGCUAAUACCGGAUAAUAUUUUGAACCGCAUGGUUCAAAAGUGAAAGACGGUAUUGCUGUCACUUAUAGAUGGAUCCGCGCUGCAUUAGCUAGUUGGUAAGGUAACGGCUUACCAAGGCAACGAUGCAUAGCCGACCUGAGAGGGUGAUCGGCCACACUGGAACUGAGACACGGUCCAGACUCCUACGGGAGGCAGCAGUAGGGAAUCUUCCGCAAUGGGCGAAAGCCUGACGGAGCAACGCCGCGUGAGUGAUGAAGGUCUUCGGAUCGUAAAACUCUGUUAUUAGGGAAGAACAUAUGUGUAAGUAACUGUGCACAUCUUGACGGUACCUAAUCAGAAAGCCACGGCUAACUACGUG
Molecule: ribosomal RNA, 496 nt
Filed under: uncultured bacterium
Lineage: Bacteria
Description: partial 16S ribosomal RNA
Rfam family: Bacterial small subunit ribosomal RNA
Source: RNAcentral